GAACUAACAAGGAUUCCCCUAGUAACGGCGAGUGAAGCGGGAAGAGCUCAAAUUUGAAAUCUGGCGGUCUACGGCCGUCCGAGUUGUAGUCUAGAGAAGUGUUUUCCGUGCUGGACCGUGUACAAGUCCCUUGGAAUAGGGCGUCGUAGAGGGUGAGAAUCCCGUCUCUGACACGGACUACCAGUGCUCUGUGAUGCACUCUCGAAGAGUCGAGUUGUUUGGGAAUGCAGCUCAAAAUGGGUGGUAAAUUCCAUCUAAAGCUAAAUAUUGGUGGAAGACCGAUAGCGAACAAGUACCGUGAGGGAAAGAUGAAAAGCACUUUGGAAAGAGAGUUAAACAGUACGUGAAAUUGUUGAAAGGGAAACGCUUGAAGUCAGUCGCGUCCUUCGAGAUUCAGCUUGGCCUUGGCCUGGUGUAUUUCUUGUUGGACGGGCCAGCAUCAAUUUUGACCACUGGAUAAAGGCAGGGGGAAUGUGGCACCUCCGGGUGUGUUAUAGCCCCUUGUUGUAUACAGUGGUUGGGAUUGAGGUCUGCAGCACGCCUUUAUUGGCCGGGGUUCGCCCACGUUACGUGCUUAGGAUGCUGGCGUAAUGGCUUUAAGCGACCCGUCUAGA
Molecule: ribosomal RNA, 614 nt
Filed under: Sphaerobolus cuprophilus
Lineage: Eukaryota; Fungi; Basidiomycota; Agaricomycetes; Geastrales; Sphaerobolaceae
Description: Sphaerobolus sp. PK-2022a partial large subunit ribosomal RNA
Rfam family: Eukaryotic large subunit ribosomal RNA
Source: RNAcentral